AACGAACGCUGGCGGCGCGUCUUAAACAUGCAAGUCGAACGGCAAAAGAGGGGCUUGCUUUUUGAGAGUGGCGGACUGGUGAGUAACACGUGGGUGACAUACCUUUUAGUUGGGGAUAGCUAUUAGAAAUAGUAGGUAAUACCGAAUGUGACCGUAUUUAUUAGAAGGAUACGAGGAAAGGAGCUAAGGCUUCGCUAAAAGAAUGGCUCGCGGCCCAUUAUGCUUGUUGGUGAGGUAACGGCCCACCAAGGCGAUGAUGGGUAUCCGGCCUGAGAGGGUGAACGGACACAUUGGGACUGAGAUACGGCCCAGACUUCUACGGGAGGCAGCAGUUAAGAAUAUUCCGCAAUGGACGAAAGUCUGACGGAGCGACGCCGCGUGGAUGAAGAAUGCCGAAAGGUUGUAAAAUCCUUUUAAGCCUGAUGAAUAAGCACAAUAGGGAAUGAUUGUGCGGUGACCGUAGGGCUUGAAUAAGCACCGGCUAAUUACGUGC
RNAcentral lists this ribosomal RNA (493 nucleotides) under Treponema maltophilum. RNAcentral describes it as "bacterial SSU rRNA". It matches the Rfam family "Bacterial small subunit ribosomal RNA", at positions 29 to 508 of the family's 1533-position model. The record is from RNAcentral. Lineage: Bacteria; Pseudomonadati; Spirochaetota; Spirochaetia; Treponematales; Treponemataceae.